This is a long non-coding RNA of Paramisgurnus dabryanus, 625 nucleotides long. RefSeq lists it as uncharacterized. Lineage: Eukaryota; Metazoa; Chordata; Actinopteri; Cypriniformes; Cobitidae. The record is from RefSeq and is a predicted model, not a curated record.
CUCUCCAUUCCAAUCAGCAGCUGUCAGCCUGGGCCCGGGUGGAUAUUAAUGACGGCCACUAACUGCCUCGCAAAUUCUCCACACUAUUUGGGAGCUGGCAUGAAAUAGGGUUGUGCUUUCUCAGUGCGCUGCGGUAGACUAAUGGAAAGAGCUCGGAUAUCUCACUGCACCAGAGACGCAAGCUCCGAAUACACCAGCCAACCACGGCCUCUUUCUGAAGGAUUAGCAGGCUGAGGUCUCUCUUUAGUGGCUAUUUACAGAUAGUGUGACCAUUCGUGCCAUUUUCCCCAGACCAGGAUUUCGGGUGUCCUCCGGAAGUCGCAUAUGUCGACCGCAUACGUCAUCAAGGCCUGUGAUUUUUGGUGGGCUGCCAUGCAAGAAAGGCAUUUUCGAACACAAAGGAACCUUUCGUCUGCCACAGAGAGCUAGUUAUUACCGUCUCAGGAUGGGGACCGUUUGAGAGGGAUCUGAGAAGUGGCCAAAGCUAACCAGUUAACCAGGAUGGAAAGUACUGUAAACAUCAGAGACUCACAGCCAAAGCCAGGAUGGCUAUUAGUGUAUGUGGGUAAAUUAGAGAUCUAAAAUAGCACCCAUACACAGACCAAACAAGGGAAAGUAUGAUACA